AACUGGUGGGGCGUAGGCCGUGAGGGGUUCUUGUCUGUAGUGGGCGAGAGCCGGGUGCAUGACAACAAAGUUGGCCACCAACACACUGUUGGGUCCUGAGGCAACACUCGGACUUGUUCCAGGUGUUGUCCCACCGCCUUGGUGGUGGGGUGUGGUGUUUGAGAAC
Molecule: unclassified non-coding RNA, 166 nt
Filed under: Mycobacterium tuberculosis
Lineage: Bacteria; Bacillati; Actinomycetota; Actinomycetes; Mycobacteriales; Mycobacteriaceae
Description: partial 16S-23S ribosomal RNA intergenic spacer
Source: RNAcentral